CCCUUAGACGUUCUGGGCCGCACGCGCGCUACACUGACCAGUGCAACAAGCAUCCGUCCUUGGCCGACAGGCCCGGGCAAUCUUUGAACGCUGGUCGUGAUGGGGAUAGACUUUUGCAAUUUUUGGUCUUCAACGAGGAAUUCCUAGUAAACGCAAGUCAUCAGCUUGCAUUGAUUACGUCCCUGCCCUUUGUACACACCGCCCGUCGCACCUACCGAUUGAAUGGUCCGGUGAAAUCCUCGGAUCGAGCCGUGGGGCAACUCCGGUUCGAGAAGUUGAUUAAACCUUACCAUUUAGAGGAAGGUGAAGUCGUAACA
Molecule: ribosomal RNA, 317 nt
Filed under: uncultured eukaryote
Lineage: Eukaryota
Description: partial 18S ribosomal RNA
Rfam family: Eukaryotic small subunit ribosomal RNA
Source: RNAcentral